This is a non-coding RNA of Bombyx mori (domestic silkworm), 73 nucleotides long. Lineage: Eukaryota; Metazoa; Arthropoda; Insecta; Lepidoptera; Bombycidae. The record is from RefSeq and is marked provisional.
AGCGCUUCGCACUCGGCGGCGAGUGUGUGUGUGGGGAGGCAGCGCGCGCACACCGCCUCCGGUCGAUACUCUA